CCUACGGGAGGCAGCAGUGGGGAAUAUUGGGCAAUGGGCGCAAGCCUGACCCAGCAACGCCGCGUGAAGGAAGAAGGCUUUCGGGUUGUAAACUUCCUUUCUCAGGGACGAAGCAAGUGACGGGACUUGAGGAAUAAGCCACGGCUAACUACGGGCCAGCAGCCGCGGCAAUACGUGGGUGGCAAGCGUUAUCCGGAUUUACUGGGGGUAAAGGGCGUGUAGGCGGGAAAGCAAGUCAGAGGGGAAAACCAUGGGCUCAACCUGCGGCCUGCAUUUGAAACUGUUUUUCUUGAGUACUGGAGAGGCAGGCGGAAUUCGUAGUGUAGCGGUGAAAUGCGUAGAUAUUAGGAGGAACACCAGUGGCGAAGGCAGUUUGCUGGA
RNAcentral lists this ribosomal RNA (381 nucleotides) under uncultured bacterium. Its description in RNAcentral is "partial 16S ribosomal RNA". It matches the Rfam family "Bacterial small subunit ribosomal RNA", at positions 338 to 733 of the family's 1533-position model. The record is from RNAcentral.